GACGAACGCUGGCGGCGUGCUUAACACAUGCAAGUCGAACGGUAAGGCCCUUCGGGGUACACGAGUGGCGAACGGGUGAGUAACACGUGGGUGAUCUGCCCUGCACUUCGGGAUAAGCCUGGGAAACUGGGUCUAACACCGGAUAGGACCACUGCCUGCAUGGGUGGUGGUGGAAAGCUUUUGCGGUGUGGGAUGGGCCCGCGGACUAUCAGCUUGUUGGUGGGGUGAUGGCCUACCAAGGCGACGACGGGUAGCCGGCCUGAGAGGGUGACCGGCCACACUGGGACUGAGAUACGGCCCAGACUCCUACGGGAGGCAGCAGUGGGGAAUAUUGCACAAUGGGCGCAGGCCUGAUGCAGCGACGCCGCGUGAGGGAUGACGGCCUUCGGGUUGUAAACCUCUUUCAGCACCGACGAAGCGCAAGUGACGGUAGGUGCAGAAGAAGGACCGGCCAACUACGUGCCAGCCGCCGCCGUAA
This 478-nucleotide ribosomal RNA is filed under the name uncultured bacterium. RNAcentral describes it as "partial 16S ribosomal RNA". It matches the Rfam family "Bacterial small subunit ribosomal RNA", at positions 28 to 523 of the family's 1533-position model. The record is from RNAcentral.